CUUUUUUUCCUAGGCAUUCAGGUUUAACCUCUUAGUUUCUGGCUUAAAAUUCUCCCAACUGAUUUUGGGCUUCCAGGGGAUUUCUUUUCCCCUGGAUUCUAAUUCUUUAGCAGACAGCUGCUCUCUAGAUCUCUCUCUACUUGGUGACAUUGCCCACCAUAGUUACUCCCCUUUUACAAGUUUCCCCUGCCCCAUUUCUUCACCUCCUUUGAUAAUAAUCUCCUGUGACUGAUAUUUGGCUUCAAGACCAUACAUCAUAAAAUUAGUCUCUCUGCAUGCAUUUUUAUAUAUGACAAUCUAAAAGGAAGGAGGGAUGAUGAUAAACAAUAUAAAUAUGAAAAGGGAUA
This 347-nucleotide long non-coding RNA is filed under the name Bos taurus (domestic cattle). Its description in RNAcentral is "long non-coding RNA NONBTAT011690". The record is from RNAcentral. Lineage: Eukaryota; Metazoa; Chordata; Mammalia; Artiodactyla; Bovidae.